Long non-coding RNA from Strongylocentrotus purpuratus (purple sea urchin), 314 nucleotides. RefSeq lists it as uncharacterized. The transcript is spliced from 3 exons. NCBI's taxonomy places the organism in Eukaryota, Metazoa, Echinodermata, Echinoidea, Camarodonta, Strongylocentrotidae. The record is from RefSeq and is a predicted model, not a curated record.
CUCGCUCCAGAGCUGCAUGCCGCGUGUUUUAAACUGACUGACGAGUUGACUGCUUGAUGACGUGACUUCGAGAUUUCAAAUAAUAUGUUAGACUGCGACACCGAGGCAACUAUGUGAAAGCGCAAAAGCAUCGCCAGGAAGGCAGAGGACACGUCAAACCUGGUAUCGGAAGAUGAUGCUAUGUAGAAGCGAAAGAGACGUCUUCCCCAGAGAUUUAGCAAAUCUUCUAGUGAUUCCGGAAUUGACGCUGAUCUUGAAUCGGUUAGGACCCAAGAAAACAACAUGUACGCGGAGGAACGACUAAGGCUGUGGCA